RNAcentral lists this ribosomal RNA (253 nucleotides) under uncultured bacterium. RNAcentral's name for it is "partial 16S ribosomal RNA". It matches the Rfam family "Bacterial small subunit ribosomal RNA", at positions 524 to 776 of the family's 1533-position model. The record is from RNAcentral.
UACAGAGGGUGCAAGCGUUGUCCGGAAUCAUUGGGCGUAAAGAGCGCGUAGGCGGCCCUGUAAGUCCGCUGUGAAAGUCAAGGGCUCAACCCUUGGAUGCCGGUGGAUACUGCAGGGCUAGAGUCCGGAAGAGGCGUGCGGAACUUCCGGUGGAGCGGUGAAAUGCGUAGAUAUCGGAAGGAACACCGGUGGCGAAAGCGGCGCGCUGGAUCCCUACUGACGCUGAGGCACGAAAGCCAGGGGAGCAAACGGG